GAGGGUAUAGCUCAGUGGUAAGAGCACAUGCUUAGCAUGCAUGAGGUCAUGGGUUUGACCCCCAGUACCUCCA
This 73-nucleotide transfer RNA is filed under the name Camelus bactrianus (Bactrian camel). It matches the Rfam family "tRNA". From Rfam's summary of the family: Transfer RNA (tRNA) molecules are approximately 80 nucleotides in length. Their secondary structure includes four short double-helical elements and three loops (D, anti-codon, and T loops). The record is from Rfam by way of RNAcentral. Lineage: Eukaryota; Metazoa; Chordata; Mammalia; Artiodactyla; Camelidae. RNAcentral also lists the same sequence under 2 other names.